ACAUACUCGCCGAAUGGUACAGGCACCCGACUCAUAAUCAGGUAAAUGCAGGUUCAAAUCCUGCGUAUGAACCA
Molecule: transfer RNA, 74 nt
Filed under: Planktothricoides sp. SpSt-374
Lineage: Bacteria; Bacillati; Cyanobacteriota; Cyanophyceae; Oscillatoriales; Oscillatoriaceae
Description: tRNA-Met
Rfam family: tRNA
About the family: Transfer RNA (tRNA) molecules are approximately 80 nucleotides in length. Their secondary structure includes four short double-helical elements and three loops (D, anti-codon, and T loops).
Source: RNAcentral